GGUGAGGUGGCCGAGUGGCUGAAGGCGCGCCCCUGCUAAGGGUGUAUAGGGGAAACUCUAUCGAGGGUUCGAAUCCCUCCCUCACCGCCA
This 90-nucleotide transfer RNA is filed under the name Osedax symbiont Rs1. RNAcentral describes it as "tRNA-Ser". It matches the Rfam family "tRNA". Rfam says of the family: Transfer RNA (tRNA) molecules are approximately 80 nucleotides in length. Their secondary structure includes four short double-helical elements and three loops (D, anti-codon, and T loops). The record is from RNAcentral. Lineage: Bacteria; Pseudomonadati; Pseudomonadota; Gammaproteobacteria; Oceanospirillales; Oceanospirillaceae.